RNAcentral lists this ribosomal RNA (993 nucleotides) under Fischoederius elongatus. Its description in RNAcentral is "16S ribosomal RNA". The stretch from base 635 to 993 matches the Rfam family "Bacterial large subunit ribosomal RNA", at positions 2046 to 2709 of the family's 2925-position model. Lineage: Eukaryota; Metazoa; Platyhelminthes; Trematoda; Plagiorchiida; Gastrothylacidae. The record is from RNAcentral.
UUAUUUUAGUUUAGAGAUGAGUUUUGUCCUUUUUGGAAUUAGGUGUGGUACCUUUUGCAUCAUGAUUCGCUGAUAGAGGUAUUAAGGAGUUAGAAUCUCGAAGGGUUACGAUAAUCAUUCGGUAUGUUUAGGACAUUAUAGUUAGGUGGGUAAUUUUCUAGAUAAUUGUUUGAGGUGUUGAGAAAUAAUUCGUGUAAUCUGAUAGCUAGUUGGGAAGGAAUGUUGUAGGUUGAGUUUUAUUGCGAAGCGGUGAUAAAAUGUAUAAGAAAUGUGUUGUGGAGUGGUUGUAGGCUUAGGGUCAGAGUUACCCUUAGUUUAGUAGUAUGUUAUUAUAAGUCAUUCGAUAGUUAUAGGUUUUUAUUUAUAUACUUCUUUAGUUAAUUGGUUGGAGAGGUUAAUGGUGGAAUAAGUAGAGUUGGUAGUGUUUCCUUUUUUUCUCGGUGCUUGUCGGUCUGUUUUUCAAAAACAUUUCUAUUUGUGAAGGUUAAAUAGUAGGACCUGCCCUAUGUUUUUUAUAAAUGGCCGCAGUAUAUUGACUGUGCAAAGGUAGCAUAAUUAAUUGUCUCGUAAUUGGGGAAUUGUUUGAAUGGUUGAACUAGAUAAGACGGAAGAUGGGAGAGGUGUUUGAAAUUGGAUAUUUGGUGCAGAUUCCAAAGGUUUUUAGUGGGACGGAAAGACCCCGAGAGCUUUAUAUUGUGAUAUUUAUUUGGGGCAGAGGUAAAUUUUUUAUUUAUUUUGUGAUCCUAUAAUAGGGGUAGAAGGUGUAAGUUACCUCGGGGAUAACUAGGUAAGAAAUAAGGAGAGGUCAAAUCGAUUUAUUUAUUUGCCAUCUCGAUGUUGAUUUAAAGUAAUAUGAGGGCGCAGAAGUUCUUGUAUAUGGUCUGUUCGACCGUAGUGCUUUUCAUGAAUUGAGUUAAGACCGGUGUAAGCCAGGUCGGUUCUUAUCUGCUAUUCUUGCGGGUUAGUACGAAAGGAUUGCCCGUGGUUUAUGUU